AAAACAAGCGAGCAUAAAUCAUCGGCCCUUUUUUUCUAUAUCUUGCCAGUCCUAUUCUGGUGUGGUGAGCAUCAUCAGCGCACCCGUAUACGCUUUCCCUCGAUCACUUCGUUCUUUCUAUUGUCUCUGUUCCUUUGCUCUGUUAUCUCUGAGAGAAAGAAAACAUGUCGGGGGGUAACGCCGGCGACGCCAUGAUCGGCCGUGUGUGCCGGAACUUCCCAGACACGUUUGCCAAGGACGAGGCAACGGCACGUGAGCAGGACAAGAAGUACUGGAUUAGCCGCGUGCUGGGCUCCGGCGCCACUGGAACGGUUCUGUGCGCGAAGCGCGUAUCUGAUGGCGAAGGAUUUGCCGUCAAGUGCGUUGACAUGGAGGGCAUGUCCGAGGCCGACAAAAACCGUGCGCAGGCAGAGGUGGACUGCCUGCUGAACUGCGACUUCUUUUCGAUUGUCAAAUGCCACGAGGACCUGGCGAAGCGCGAUGCCAACAACCCAGAAAUGGUGCAGAUGAUUGCACUGGUGCUGGACUACGCCAACGCCGGUGAUCUCCGCCAAGAGAUCAAGAGCCGCGCCCGGACGGGUCGAACGUUCCGCGAGCAUGAAGCAGGUCUGCUGUUCCUACAGGUGCUGCUGGCCGUCCACCACGUCCACUCGAAGCACAUGAUUCACCGUGAUAUCAAGAGUGCCAAUAUCCUGCUGUGCAGCAACGGUCUCGUGAAGCUGGGCGACUUCGGUUUUAGCAAGAUGUAUGCAAAUACUGUGAGCGACGAUGUCGGCCGCACGUUCUGUGGCACCCCCUACUACGUGGCACCGGAGAUUUGGCGGCGCUGUCCGUACAGCAAGAAGGCGGACAUGUUCUCGCUCGGCGUGCUUCUUUACGAGCUGCUCACGCUGAAGCGUCCCUUCGACGGCGCCAAUAUGCACGAGGUCAUGCACAAGACACUUGCUGGCCGCUUCGACCCCCUUCCGAGCAAUAUUAGCCCAGAGAUGCGCGAUAUCGUGACAGCGCUGCUGAGCGGUGACCCGGGGCGCCGCCCAUCGAGCAGUCGGCUGCUGAACAUGCCCAUCUGCAAACUCUUCCUGUCUGGCUUGCUGGAGAUUGUGCAGACCCAACCGGCUUUUCAGGGUGGUCUGCGCGACUCGAUCUCGAACCAGAUUCAGGAGACGAAGCGGCUGCUAGUGACAGAGAAGCGCCACAUCCAGCGCAUGAUGGAGGAGAGCUCGGGCAGCUCUGUGGCCGCGUCUACUACGAUUCUCGAAGGCGCAACCCCACUCACAACGACGCUCGGCGGCCUCACGAUUCACGAGGGAACCGUGAAGAAGCAGAGCAGCGACAUGGUAUGGAAAAAGCGCUAUCUGUGCAUCCGCGCCGAGCUCGCAGACGGCCAGACAGUGCUCGAUAUGAACCCCAAGUUCAAGACCUUGGACAUGGUGCUGGCCAUAUCGAAGGAGACAAUGGAGCAGCAGUGCAUUUCCACGCCCUUCACGGAGCUGGAGGACGCCUUUCCGGUGCCUGCUAAAUAUACUGGCUGCAACGCCUCCUUUGUCUUCGCCGUCGCUUUCAAGACUGGAAAGCGCCUGUCGUUCCAGACGAAGAGCGAGGUAGAGCGCGACCUUUGGAUGGAAAAAAUUCAGGACGUUUUGGGCAUUGGCGACGGCGACGAUGACGACAUGUCUGCUCUACCCGCAAAGGAGUGAGUCCGACUCUACAACGUACAGCAGAAAAGGAUGCGACAACACAAGAAGCGGGAUGGCAGCAGGCAGAGUUCCGGCACGGUGCGCUGCAGGCAACUGACCGAGCGGCUGGCGCGUUGAUUUCUCCCUUCCUUUGGUGAUCUUCUUCCUCUUCGCGGCAUAUUGUGCCGAGCCGUUCGCGCACGCCGAGUGGCAAAGCGCGUUUGCGAUGUGGCGGCACCCUUUGCGUGCUGGUCCUCUGUGCGCGCAUCUGUCGGUAGGUUUCGCUCGGUGCGCGGCUUGCGAGAUACCGAAUGGCUCGGUAGUGGACGAGGGCCCCGCUGCUUCUCCUGUCUCUUCACGUUUAUGUAGAUACACGCCUUUCUUUUUUUCGUUUACUUUUUUUUUCUCGCGCGCGUGUGUGUGUGUGUGUGUGUGCUUGUGGCGACAACCCGGCCCACCCAGCCCCCUCUCAAUCUCUCGCUCUCACCCUCCUGUCUUUAUCUGUCAUGUCCACGUACUUCACGGUUGUGAUGUGUGGAGUGUAUGCUUGUUCGGCACUUUGAGGUACGCGCGUCUGUGUCUGUGUGACUGUGCGUGUGCACGUCCUUGUCCCCCAUUUUUCGUUCUUCUAUUUUGAUUUUCGUGGCCCUUACAUUUGUUUUUCUGCGUGUUCCAUCUUGAUCGGGUGACAGUGCUGAGAAUCUAGGUGAGGAAGGGUGAUGGCAGGGACGCGGAGGAAUGAUGCUUUGAUGGAACCCACGUGAUCGAGGCCGCUGCGGCCUUGGUGUUUUGGCUUUCUUAGUUGGCUGUGGCUUGUCUCCUCGUCCGUGUCACUCUGGCCUUCCCCUGCUUUCUCACUGUCUCUCCUAGAUGAUGUGUUUGACUUCCACUGAGCUGUGUCCUUUUUUCUCUCGUUCCCCCCUUGUUGGAGGGCUUGUAUUGCUUUGGCAUUCUGUUUUUGGCUUUCUCCCUCGCUCUUUCUCAUGUGAAAAGUGUUUUGUAAGUGAUGUAUACCAGCAGUCCACUGGCAGCAGCAACGACAGGACAGCGGCGAACCUGCUGCUCUCUCUUCCUCUUCCACUUUCUUCCGCGCAUGCACACACCCACACACGCACACACUACACGCUUGCACGCCUUGCCCGUGUGUGGGUGUGUGUAUGUGUUGUGUCUGCAGUUGCAUUUUCAGUGGCUGUUUGGUGGUAAUGGUCGUCUUUUUCCCGCCGUCGUCUUUCCUUCCACUCUCAUCACACCUUCCCCCUUUCCUUUACUGCCCCACCUCUUCCUCUCCGCCGCUUGUCUUGCAGCAGACUCCCUGACAGUAGUAGAUGCGCGCUUUUUUUUUGAGGUGGUGCGCUUGUCUGUUCGGGAGGAAUGUUCCUUUCAUGGACGCGGGCAUUAGGCGGAGAGAUAGGUGAACGAGGAAGGGGAAGGGAGAGAGAGCCCCCCCCCCCCCACACACACACAAAAGGGGGUGAGGGGCGUGUAUCAAUUCAUGAACUGUCCUUCCUCCUCGUUUUCCACGCUCCUUGCUCUCCCUGUGCUCUAUAGCUCCGCUGCUCUCUUUUUUUUUUCUGGAAGGUGCGAGAAGAGAAUGCCCGUCUCAGACAGUUCUGUUUCUGUUUUUGCUUUUUCCUUCUCAUGUUGCUCUUCCAAUUGAUUGUGUACUCCCGAGACAAGCGCCCCCUCCUCGCUUCCCUCCCCCCUUUCCUCUUCCCUCAGCCGUGCUUGGCUGCAACUUUCCGUCUCUUUUCUUCCUCUUCUGCUCAACUUUUCUCGGAACUGACACGGGUAGGGGCAGACUGGGGUACAGCUGCACCCUCCAGUGGAGCCAUGCAACAUGCAUCUUACGAGUUGAGAGGGGCAGAGGUCAGAAGACUACCAGCAAGCGGGCCACGCGUCUUCAUAUCCCAGAUGAGGAUCCCCUUGCCUGUGCGAGGUGGGAAGCAGAAGAGUCGGAUGGUGCCCGGCCUCGUUCGGCGCCCACACGCUCCUCUAAGAGAGACAAGCGAAAAUAAAACACGAGCAAAAGGUUGCGAAAAAAAAAGGAGGGCAGAGGAGUUGUCGCCGGCAAAAAAAAAAAAAACAGCAAAAGAAAGCCGCCGCGCGGGAGCUACAUGGCAGCAGAGGCGAGCAAAGAAGCCAUCGAGCGACUGUGCUUUUUUUUUGCUGUUUCCCACCAUCAGCGUUUUCUUUUUAUUGUUUGAUCCGUUUUUCUUUGUUGCUGUGUUGAGAGUGAGUUGUGUUGCUUCUGCAGCCGCAUUUUCAUGUUGUCUUUUUCGUCAAAGAUACGUUCUUGCUUUUAGGCUCCCUUCCUCCACCUUUUUCUUGUUUGGACACGACAAAUGCCUGAUGCGUGCGCACGUGCACGCCAUGGUGGCUCACUCUUUUCGUCGCCUUCCACACUACUUCCUCACUUCAUCUUGCACUACAUCACUAUAUUUUUUUCCAGCUGCGUGCCGACUCUCCAUGAGGACGGGGCGACACCUCAGUGCGUGGUGUCGCAGGGUCCAGCGCCCCCACGCAUUGCGUGCGGAAAAAGCCAAGCAGCCCCUCGCCCCUAUCCCCUGCCACUGCGGAGCCGCCUCUGGUGGUGGCCGAGCCAAGCGCCUACGGCGUAGCGGAGCCACAGCAAUGCAUCCCCGCUGAUGCCGGGCGGCCAUGUCCUGGUGAGCGUGGCGUCGCCGCGCCCUGCGGUCAGCGAACGCGUCCGUGCCGUUCAUGCGAUGGGCGGAGUGUGGAGGUGGCUCGAAAGGCAUCGCGCCCCCGCCCUCACACUGCCCACUGGUGUGGGGGUGCCCGAGCCCGGCCCCGUGGCGGGUGCACCGGGUGGCGACCGGCGCAACGGCCGCUGCUGUGUGAGUGUGUGUGUGUGUGAGCACUGUUCGACGCAGCGGCGGUGCCCGGGUGACUGGGUCGGCGCACGGCUGCAGGGCUUGCCCUACCGCUGCAUCUCCCCAUGCGCUGUGCCUGUGCCAGGACCGUUAGAGUUGGGCUCCUUUUGCAUGUCACAGAAUGAGCAUGUUGAAUAAAUCGGUGUUGGCCUUGUGAGGCCUGUGCGUAAGCCGCCAUGGGUACGGUGGUGAAGAGUACGUGUGCUGGUGUGGUGCUGACAUUCUAUGUGUACUUGCUAGUUUUCGUCUUCCCGGGACUUUCGGAGAGGCUGCGGGGAAUGUAUACGUUAGGUGUGUGUAUGCAUGUACAUAAGUGUGUGUGUGUGACCGUCAGCCGCAGAUGUGGCGGAUGGUGACGUCACACCCCGUCUGCUCCUGUUUCUGCCAUGGAAAUUUCCCUCGUCGUUGGUGCUUUCUGGAUCUCUUGUUCUCUUUUUAUUAUGGUGCUUCUUAUUUUUCUGUGUGUGCAUGUGUGUGCGUGUGUGGGUGGGUGUGUGGGCCGCCUAUCCCCUCUCUUUCCUUUCGCUCUCUCCUUUCGCUCUUCUUUGCGUGGUUUGUUGCUGUUACGGUUGUUGUUCGUCGUCGAUCUGUUUUUUUUUUUUGUUUGUAUUCCAGGUGCGAUGCUCUUGUUUUGACUCCUUUUCCCGUUAUUAUAGGUGUAUGUCAUAGUCAUUAUGUUUGAAGCGUAUGAAUGAUGCAUGGCAACAGCACAAGGUAAACACACACACGCACGCACACACACAC
RNAcentral lists this unclassified non-coding RNA (5311 nucleotides) under Leishmania donovani. RNAcentral describes it as "gene:LdHU3.36.2020(CDS-product:serine/threonine_p rotein_kinase_putative)". The record is from RNAcentral. Lineage: Eukaryota; Euglenozoa; Kinetoplastea; Trypanosomatida; Trypanosomatidae.